CUUAUUUUCUUUCUUUUUCCUUCUUUUCUCUCCCGAGCUGAUCCUUCUCCUCCUCCCCACUCGCGGUGCUGAACCCUCCUCUUCCUUCUUCCCUCACGCGACAUCGAGCCACCGCUGCCUUCUUCCUUCCGAUCUCCUCUCUCGACGCCGACGAUCUCUUCAUCUCCCUCGCUCCUUCUCCAUCGCGAGCACCAGCAUCUUCCCCGACGCAUCGCCGGCUGGCCUCGUGCCCUAGCCAUCCCUCUUUCCCCAUCGGCUGUUGUGAGCCAACGCGGGAACAUAGGCGUUGCCGUUUGCCCUCGGUUGGCUGUGCCCUAACUUCUUGAUGUCGAUGUUUGAUGAUGGUGUGAGCAUCACCGGCGGUCCCAGUUAGGCUUGGAGCAAGGAGCCCCUGUAUCUCUUGAUCGUGGUCGGCUAUUGCCCUUCUCCUGAGUAUAUUCCGGUCAGUGCCCUAGUGACGGCGUCGUACUAUCCUGUGCCCCGGCUCAUUCAUCGCAGCACCUCGAUUCCCUCCGAGAGAGAUCUCGGAUCUAGUUCAGGGGUCUGAGGGGAGAGCUCCACUGGUAUUGCUAUUACGGUUGGUGCUAUUCAUCUAGCAGUGGAUUGAAUUAGGGGUAUUUGUUUUGGGAGAUCAGCAACCCCACCUUGUACCGGCUACCAAUUCCCGGCAGCCAACAUCUUCGACCAUGAGUCAAUAACGGAGCAUCCGAUUUAGGACUUUGAUUCAAGACGGCAUCUCGACGUGGGAUCUUUCGAAUAUGAUCUCCAUUUUUUAGGCGGGU
Long non-coding RNA from Zingiber officinale, 782 nucleotides. RefSeq lists it as uncharacterized. The record is from RefSeq and is a predicted model, not a curated record. NCBI's taxonomy places the organism in Eukaryota, Viridiplantae, Streptophyta, Magnoliopsida, Zingiberales, Zingiberaceae. The transcript has 4 exons.